GUUUUUUCCUGCUCCUAAACAAUGCUAUAAUCAUGAUGUGCAGCUUCUUAAAACAGUGUUUCAUUCCUUACAGGUUUUUUAUCCUCUUCAUCACCAGAAAUAGUCCCCUUAACAAGAAACUCUUCCCUGUAUCUUGAAGAUCAGAUCUGAUGCAGUAAGGUAGGGUGACAGCUGUGAAGAGAAAUCAAAUAAUCUCUCUUGAGAUCAUGCAAAGACUCUGGAAAUACUAUCCCAGUGCGUCCUGGCUAUAACACUUUUGAUGUCCUCAUCAUUCUCCACAGUCCUACAAGCACUGACGGGUGGAUGCUGUGGGGGGGUCCAGGCAGCUCUGUGGAACAGUCUCCAAUGGGCUAGUAGGAUGAGAAGUUCCAGGGGUAGUUUGGGAAGCGAGGAGAAGCAUCACCUCCCAAGACGGUAAACCUACUGAAAAGGCUAUUCAAACUCCAGAAGGAC
This 453-nucleotide long non-coding RNA is filed under the name Athene cunicularia (burrowing owl). RNAcentral's name for it is "lncRNA (ENSACUG00000002901.1)". Lineage: Eukaryota; Metazoa; Chordata; Aves; Strigiformes; Strigidae. The record is from RNAcentral.